RNAcentral lists this ribosomal RNA (848 nucleotides) under Pseudomonas citronellolis. Its description in RNAcentral is "bacterial SSU rRNA". It matches the Rfam family "Bacterial small subunit ribosomal RNA", at positions 143 to 985 of the family's 1533-position model. Lineage: Bacteria; Pseudomonadati; Pseudomonadota; Gammaproteobacteria; Pseudomonadales; Pseudomonadaceae. The record is from RNAcentral.
ACAACGUUCCCAAGGGAGCGCUAAUACCGCACACGUCCUACGGGAGAAAGUGGGGGAUCUUCGGACCUCACGCUAUCAGAUGAGCCUAGGUCGGAUUAGCUAGUAGGUGGGGUAAUGGCUCACCUAGGCGACGAUCCGUAACUGGUCUGAGAGGAUGAUCAGUCACACUGGAACUGAGACACGGUCCAGACUCCUACGGGAGGCAGCAGUGGGGAAUAUUGGACAAUGGGCGAAAGCCUGAUCCAGCCAUGCCGCGUGUGUGAAGAAGGUCUUCGGAUUGUAAAGCACUUUAAGUUGGGAGGAAGGGCAGUAAGUUAAUACCUUGCUGUUUUGACGUUACCAACAGAAUAAGCACCGGCUAACUUCGUGCCAGCAGCCGCGGUAAUACGAAGGGUGCAAGCGUUAAUCGGAAUUACUGGGCGUAAAGCGCGCGUAGGUGGUUUGGUAAGAUGGAUGUGAAAUCCCCGGGCUCAACCUGGGAACUGCAUCCAUAACUGCCUGACUAGAGUACGGUAGAGGGUGGUGGAAUUUCCUGUGUAGCGGUGAAAUGCGUAGAUAUAGGAAGGAACACCAGUGGCGAAGGCGACCACCUGGACUGAUACUGACACUGAGGUGCUAAAGCGUGGGGAGCAAACAGGAUUACAUACCCUGGUAGUCCACGCCGUAAACGAUGUCGACUAGCCAUUGGGAUCCUUGAGAUCUUAGUGGCGCAGCUAACGCGAUAAGUCGACCGCCUGGGGAGUACGGCCGCGAGGGUGAAACUCGAAUGAAUUGACGGGUGCCCCCACAAGCGGUGGAGCAUGUGGUUUAAUUCGAAGCAACGCGGAAGAACCUUACCUGGGCUUUGA